Non-coding RNA from Triticum urartu, 243 nucleotides. Lineage: Eukaryota; Viridiplantae; Streptophyta; Magnoliopsida; Poales; Poaceae. The record is from RefSeq and is a predicted model, not a curated record.
GACCACUUCUCUUCGCCCAAGCAACAAAUGCUUCCCCAUCCUGGCGAAACUGAAAGAUGUGAAGAACAUGAACUGGUGUAAGUUCAUUGCCGACUUCCUGCAUGAUGCAUUUGCAAGCAAGGUGUACCAGAAGGGUUGUCGACUGCAUUUAAUGCUCAUGUACGUCGACUGCCUUGAUCUGUCCACCGUGGACUUCACUGGGACAGGAGGCCCGCCGCCUGCGCACAAGUUUGCUGUUUCUGC